GGGGCUGAGGCUCAGUGGUAGAGCGCUUGCCUAGCAUGCAUGAGGCACUGGGUUCGAUCCUCUGCACCA
Molecule: transfer RNA, 69 nt
Filed under: Marmota monax (woodchuck)
Lineage: Eukaryota; Metazoa; Chordata; Mammalia; Rodentia; Sciuridae
Rfam family: tRNA
About the family: Transfer RNA (tRNA) molecules are approximately 80 nucleotides in length. Their secondary structure includes four short double-helical elements and three loops (D, anti-codon, and T loops).
Source: Rfam by way of RNAcentral